Molecule: transfer RNA, 67 nt
Filed under: Drosophila simulans
Lineage: Eukaryota; Metazoa; Arthropoda; Insecta; Diptera; Drosophilidae
Description: tRNA-Asn
Source: RNAcentral
AAAAAAUUAGUUAAACUGGUAACGUUGGUAUGCCAAACAGAAAUUCUGAAAUAACUGAUGUUUUCUA